GUGCAAUCAUAAUUAGUUGUCAUUGGCCAGGUGUUCUGAAUCUGAUCCAAUUCUUCAGAACCGUUCCCUCAUCUUCAUACUUUACUUCACAUAUCGAAUCUCCCACAAAUCUUACAAACCCUAACCCUAAUCAUGGCCACCGAUGCUCACGACUCUCGUCGCAAGCACCACCGAUCAUCCACUCCGGAGGACGACGACAGAUCCUCCAAGCGCCACAAGCACCGCCACCACAGCCACCGCCACCGCACCAAAAAGCGCGAUGAAGAGAUUCAAUACGACGACGGCGGUGCAGUCGCCGCGGUUCCUUCUCCAACUCCCGCCCCUAAUCCCGACGAGGACGUGGAGGAAGGAGAGAUUCUCGAGGACGAUGCUCUUAACGGUGAGGUUAGGAAGAAGCAGUUGGAAUCUGAUGCUGAAUCUGGUGAAAUCGAGGUGAAAGGAGAUCGAGAUGUUCGAUCCGAUGAGAAAAAUCUGGGAUUUCCUGCUAAAAGUUCUAAGGCUAAAGUUCAUGAAGAUGAUGAUGGUUCCAGCCACUCAAGAGCUAAGACUCGAGGUGAGAGUGGUGUUCGAGCUAGUAGAGAUGGUUUGGGCAAUGGGUAUCCGGAUCCUAAAUAUUCGAAAGCGGAUAAGAGGCAGAAUGGGGAACUUGGACAUUUUAAAGGAAAUGAGAAGCUAAAAGGUGACUUUGAUGAUGAAGCCCCGGAGGCUAAUGGGAAGAAAGUGAAUUACCAUCGGAAUUCAUCUUCUGAAAGUGGAGGAGAAAAAAUUAGGAUGUCAGAACAUGCUCCUUCUCAUGAUAGAUUGAGAAGCCGAUCAAGAUCAACUGAUCAUACCAGGGACAGGUCUCGUUCUCGCAGUAUUGUGGAUGAAUACGCCCAUCCCAAGAGAAGGUACUCUAGGGAACCCCUUUAUCAUACUAGUAGGCAUAAGACUGACUGUGACCUUGAUGAGGAAAGAGUGAGAGACGGCAAAAGGGAGCAUCAGCAUGGCAGUAUAGAUUUGGUGGAAGAUGAUAGAAGAGAACACAGCACCAGAUAUCACAGUCGGGAGGCUCGUGAUAGAGGUAGGAGUAGGGACAGAGAUGUGGAAAGAGAACUACAUCGGGAAAGAAAACGGGCGGAAACAAGCCGGAAUAAGGAGGUUGAUUUGGUGCGCAAAAGGGAAAAAGAACGUCAAGUGAGUCAUGAGAAGUAUAGAAGGGAUGGGGAGAAAGAUAGGAUCAGGGAAAGGGAGGAGGAUAGAGAUAGGAGGAGAGAAAAGGAAAGAGAUAGGAGCUUGGAGACAGUGUUUGAGAGGGAUAGGAGAAGGGAAAAGGAGAGAGAUAGGAGUAGGGACAGAGCAAGGGGUGGCCAGAGAGAUAGAGUUCUGGAAAGUGAAAGGGAUUAUAGGAAUCGGGAAAGGGAUAACAUUCAGGAGAGGGAGAGGCGAGAUGAUAGAUAUAGGCACACAGAUAGAGAUUUUGCUGGUGGUAAGGAUAAGUAUCUGCGUCAUGAGGAUGGUAAUGACAGUGGAGAUAGAUAUAGAAAACAUUCCAGACGUGAAGAAAACGAAUACCAUGCAGAGAGAAGAAGAAACUCUGAUUCCCAUGGAAAAGUUUAUAACUCUAUGGGAACUACCAUAGAGGAGAAGGAAAGAGAGGUUGAACAGGAUGACUUUGAUGAUGAUACAUUGCAAUUACCUGAACAAGAAGAGGACGAUCUCAACAGGAUCAAAGAGGAGAGUAGAAGGAGAAGGGAGGCAAUAAUGGAGAAAUACAAGAAGCAGAAUCAGGAAGUAGAUCAAGCUAGUGGAAAUGAAGGACAAGAUAUGAAUGCAGACACUCCUGCUGACAAUCCUGAAGUGAUGGAUGGUAUGAAUGAUGAUGUUGAUGAUGUGGAAGCAGCAGAACCAUCAUUUGCUGUUGGGAAAUCUCCUGAAAAUGUGAAUGCUGCCUCCAAGAUAUCUGGUGCUGGGGGUCUGGGAGAGGGUACUCCAAAGAGUGAGAGGUCAGCUGACAAGUUUUGUGAUGAUAUAUUUGGCGAGACACCAACUGGAGUUCGGAAAUCAGGGAAAGGAGAUGGUUUACUGAUUGAGAGGGCUGGCCUACAUGAUAAUUGGGAUGAUGCAGAGGGUUAUUACAGCUAUCGGUUUGGUGAAAUACUUGAUGGCCGAUAUGAAGUUGCUGCCGCACAUGGGAAGGGUGUCUUUUCCACAGUUGUACGGGCAAAAAAUCUGAACACCGGUAAUGGUGAGCCAGAAGAAGUAGCAAUAAAAAUUAUUCGUAAUAAUGACACCAUGUACAAGGCUGGUAUGGAUGAAUUAGUGAUAUUGAAGAAGUUAGUAGGUGCAGAUCCAGAUGAUAAACGUCACUGUGUUCGUUUCCUUUCAAGUUUUAAGUACCGAAAUCAUCUUUGUUUAGUUUUUGAAUCUCUUAAUAUGAAUCUGCGUGAGGUUUUAAAGAAGUUUGGUCGCAAUAUUGGCCUUAGGCUAACUGCUGUGAGAGCAUAUGCAAAACAGCUUUUCAUUGCACUGAAGCAUCUCCGGAACUGUGGUGUUCUUCAUUGUGAUAUAAAGCCUGAUAAUAUGCUGGUGAAUGAGGCUAAAAAUGUUUUGAAGCUUUGUGACUUUGGUAAUGCCAUGUUUGCUGGUAAAAAUGAAGUUACACCAUAUCUUGUGAGUCGCUUCUAUCGUGCUCCUGAAAUAAUACUUGGCUUGCAGUAUGAUCAUCCAUUGGAUAUUUGGUCUGUGGGCUGUUGUUUGUAUGAGUUGUAUACAGGAAAGGUUCUUUUUCCAGGGCUUACAAACAAUGAUAUGUUGCGGCUUCACAUGGAAUUGAAGGGCCCCUUUCCAAAAAAAAUUCUUCGGAAGGGAGCAUUUACUGAACAACAUUUUGAUCAUGACCUGAAUUUUCUUGCUACAGAGGAGGAUCCUGUAACAAAAAAGACCAUAAAGCGAAUGAUUUUCAACAUAAAGCCGAAAGACAUUGGGACAAUCAUCAGUGGCUCUCCUGGGGAGGAUCCGAAAAUGUUAUCUAACUUCAAAGACCUUUUGGACAAAAUUUUCGUAUUGGAUCCAGACAAGAGGUUGACAGUGUCACAAGCAUUGAACCACCCAUUCAUCACUGGCAAGUGAACAAUGUUGCUGAAUUUGACUCCUGAAUGAUAUUCACUGAUAUUUGUACAUAAUGAUCCAAUUGAUAUAGAGGUUCUAAUCAUUUGGCACUAUUUACCUUCUAUGUAUGGCCCAAGGAGUGUCAUCAUAGUUGUCAGCAUAUUGAAGUGAAAAAGUGUGAUGUCUCUCCAGGCGUACACUUCACUGGCGGUUCUUUCAGUGGAAUGUACUGUUUCUAUUGAGUCAUCUCACUGGUUUGAGGCAUCCCUCCCAUGCUUAGAUGCUUAAAAGGAACCCAGGAGAAGGUACCUUGGUUUGUUUAUUGGGAGAUUAAUUUCAGCAUGCUGAAAUGAAUUGUGAUUUCCAUUAGAAACUAUUAUUAAUGCAAAUAGAAUAGCUGCUGCGUUUGAAUGGGAAUUGUUUUAAGAUGAGCCUGAAUGACCUUCUUUGAAUCAUGAGGAAUGUACUUGGCUGUUGCAUUGGUGUUGUCUGAGCACACUGAGCACAUCAAUUGCUUAUAUCUUUUAGCUAGGUACAUGAUUUAGGGGGUACGAUUAGUGUUGAACCUGCAUCUUUAUCCAGAUGUGGAGGUGUCACUAGGUCAAAUGUCUUAUCGCCACUGCCAUUAGUUUAGUUCAGUAUAAGUGGCUGAAUUACCAAGUGCUUUUUUUUCCAUUUCUUUUUGUUCCUUUCUGUGAGGAGUAUGGUCAGGCAUAUAGAGAUACUUCAUUUCUUGAUUGUUGUUGUGCAUUUCUUUCCAUCUAUUGUGUUGUAUUAUUUAGUUCUUGUGUGCUUUCUUAAAUUUGCCUAUACGCAUGUCCUAAUGAAAUUAUGUUGCAUCUUAUCCAUGGCGAGCCAUUCUGGAAGCACUUCCACUGGGCAUGUUUGGCUGUGUUCUUCAUGCAAAUUCAUAUCUCGGUACUAUAUCUUGGUCCUACAAUAUUUGUAAGUAUAUUCAUCUCCAAUUUCUUUCAUAUCUUUGUCACUAUUGAUGUCAUUGAUUCUCCACGGCUUGUUUCAUUCGAUUAUUGUUCAUUGUAGCUGGUAUUUUUGAAUGUUGAUGUAUUGCAAGUUUUUUGCUGUGUUUCUGAUGAUGGGUGUAUUCCUAGAAAGAGUGUAACAAGGGAAUUAUACAUUGUAUAUUGUCAUGUAAUGUCAUAGUACAUCAAAUCACGGUAAUUGUAUACCAUUGUAUUGAUUGCAAGUCUAUAUAAUAUAUAGCUUUGCUUUGUAGUAUAGACACAUGGAUUUAUUUGUUUGCUCACUCAGUUUCCUCUUUCUCAACAUGGUAUCUAGAGCUUGAUGAGACCCAAUCCCUGGUAAUAGAUCUCUUUUCUCUUCCCUUGCUAGGCUGCCUCCUUUGAUAAUUUGCCAACGACUUAUAGUUCUCUCAAUUACAAUCCCUUGGAGUUGGUAUUGUGCAUCUCUUUCCCUUGUUCAUAAUCACUAAUGUGCUGUGUCCUUUCCUCCGUUUAAUUAGCUCAUUUAGCCACCUGACUCAUUCUCUUCAUUACCUUAUUUCUUUUACAAAAAAAUCUGUCAUCUUACUUACUGGACCAGGGUUCAAGGAUGACAAUUUGCCCCAGACUUCGACAGUUGUCAAUCCCUUCCAUCGAUUGCUCAAUAUUGCUCUUUGAAAAGGAAUUUGGUUUACUCACAAUCUUCCUCCUUAUUCUGGUGAAGAUAUUAUUGUAUUUCUUUGUCACAUUUUGCUCGUCUCUUCACCCUUUGUGUUUGUUCCGUAAACUACAAGUUAAGUGAAGCAAGUGCAUUACAUAUGAUGUACAGGUAUAGCCUAAAAUUCAGUACUUCACCAGAGAGAACCAAACACAUUGGACUUAUUUGCCAUUUUGUUUUGAAAGAACAUUUUUAACAUGUUCGGAUUUGAGUCAGAGACCACA
Lotus japonicus is the source of this 4991-nucleotide RNA transcript. RefSeq lists it as uncharacterized. The transcript is spliced from 14 exons. Lineage: Eukaryota; Viridiplantae; Streptophyta; Magnoliopsida; Fabales; Fabaceae. The record is from RefSeq and is a predicted model, not a curated record.